Molecule: ribosomal RNA, 498 nt
Filed under: uncultured bacterium
Lineage: Bacteria
Description: partial 16S ribosomal RNA
Rfam family: Bacterial small subunit ribosomal RNA
Source: RNAcentral
AUUGAACGCUGGCGGCAUGCCUUACACAUGCAAGUCGGACGGUAACAGGUCUUCGGAUGCUGACGAGUGGCGAACGGGUGAGUAAUACAUCGGAACGUGCCUAGUAGUGGGGGAUAACUACUCGAAAGAGUGGCUAAUACCGCAUGAGAUCUACGGAUGAAAGCAGGGGAUCGCAAGACCUUGUGCUACUAGAGCGGCCGAUGGCAGAUUAGGUAGUUGGUGGGAUAAAAGCUUACCACGCCGACGAUCUGUAGCUGGUCUGAGAGGACGAUCAGCCACACUGGGACUGAGACACGGCCCAGACUCCUACGGGAGGCAGCAGUGGUGAAUUUUGGACAAUGGGCGCAAGCCUGAUCCAGCAAUGCCGCGUGCAGGAUGAAGGCCUUCGGGUUGUAAACUGCUUUUGUACGGAACGAAAAGCCCCGGGUUAAUACCCUGGGGUCAUGACGGUACCGUAAGAAUAAGCACCGGCUAACUACGUGCCAGCCGCCGCGGUAA